ACCGAUUUCAAAUGGUGCUA
RNAcentral lists this microRNA (20 nucleotides) under Rattus norvegicus (Norway rat). RNAcentral describes it as "rno-miR-3556b". Lineage: Eukaryota; Metazoa; Chordata; Mammalia; Rodentia; Muridae. The record is from miRBase by way of RNAcentral.